Podarcis lilfordi (Lilford's wall lizard) is the source of this 77-nucleotide non-coding RNA. The record is from the annotation of a GenBank genome assembly. NCBI's taxonomy places the organism in Eukaryota, Metazoa, Chordata, Lepidosauria, Squamata, Lacertidae.
UACCUUGUAGUUCAGUAGUAGAGCAUCUGCUUUGCAUGCAGAAGGUUCCAGGUUAAAUCCUCAGCAUCUCCAGGUAG